RNAcentral lists this unclassified non-coding RNA (184 nucleotides) under uncultured fungus. RNAcentral describes it as "sequence contains ITS1". The record is from RNAcentral. Lineage: Eukaryota; Fungi.
GUAUUUAGAAUUAUUUAUUCGAAAUAGCUUCAGACAAAAAAAAUUACAAUAAAGGGUUGGUAUUAUACUGUCGCGACGUCUGAACGACUCGACAGCAAACAUUGCACACAAGGUGAGUACUUGUUUAAAAAGUGCAGUAAAACACUUAUUAUGAAUGAUCCUUCCGCAGGUUCACCUACGGAAA